AAAACUGGGAUGAGAAUCCCCAUUAGAGAGGAGAAAGACUAGCUGGCUGUGGCUCUGUGGAUGCUGUAAUUCUAAGUGACAUUCUGGCCUCCCUGACACAGAGUUGACAAAUGACAAGCUGGCAACACUGGAAACAGAUUUCCCAUUGAUCCACAAAACAGGUACAGAAACAAAUGAGAAAUAGCAGAUUUCACUAAUUCCAUUCCCCAUUCUUGUCCAUCUAGCCACUCUCAAAUUGUGUCU
This 243-nucleotide long non-coding RNA is filed under the name Coturnix japonica (Japanese quail). RNAcentral describes it as "lncRNA (ENSCJPG00005008732.1)". The record is from RNAcentral. Lineage: Eukaryota; Metazoa; Chordata; Aves; Galliformes; Phasianidae.